RNAcentral lists this non-coding RNA (178 nucleotides) under [Mannheimia] succiniciproducens. Its description in RNAcentral is "Mannheimia succiniciproducens Lysine sequence". It matches the Rfam family "Lysine riboswitch aptamer". Rfam says of the family: Riboswitches are metabolite binding domains within certain messenger RNAs that serve as precision sensors for their corresponding targets. Allosteric rearrangement of mRNA structure is mediated by ligand binding, and this results in modulation of gene expression. Lineage: Bacteria; Pseudomonadati; Pseudomonadota; Gammaproteobacteria; Pasteurellales; Pasteurellaceae. RNAcentral also lists the same sequence under 1 other name. The record is from RNAcentral.
UACACAUGUAGAGGUGCGAAUAUUAUAAGUAUUUUUCCAGAGUGGAUAACAAUGAAGGAAAUUGAAAGGAAUAUUUGCCGAAAUCAGUUAAGCGUCAUCUUAACUGGUUGGUAACGUCACCGAAAGGAACGUUACUGCCAUAGUCAUUUUUGAUUAACUAUGGAGCGCUACUCGUGGG